GGCUGGUCAGAUGGCAGUGGGUGAUCAGAACUUAUUAACAUUAGUGUCACUAAAGUUGGUAUACCACCCCCCACCCCCCACUGCUAAAUUUGCCUGGCUUAAA
Molecule: unclassified non-coding RNA, 103 nt
Organism: Cavia porcellus (domestic guinea pig)
Lineage: Eukaryota; Metazoa; Chordata; Mammalia; Rodentia; Caviidae
Rfam family: Y RNA
About the family: Y RNAs are components of the Ro ribonucleoprotein particle (Ro RNP), in association with Ro60 and La proteins. The Y RNAs and Ro60 and La proteins are well conserved, but the function of the Ro RNP is not known.
Source: Ensembl